UACGGGGGGGGCAAGCGUUGUUCGGAAUUACUGGGCGUAAAGGGCUCGUAGGCGGCCAACUAAGUCAGACGUGAAAUCCCUCGGCUUAACCGGGGAACUGCGUCUGAUACUGGAUGGCUUGAGUUCGGGAGAGGGAUGCGGAAUUCCAGGUGUAGCGGUGAAAUGCGUAGAUAUCUGGAGGAACACCGGUGGCGAAGGCGGCAUCCUGGACAAUUGCUGACGCUCAGGCACGAAAGCGUGGGGAGCCAAAGGG
This 253-nucleotide ribosomal RNA is filed under the name uncultured bacterium. Its description in RNAcentral is "partial 16S ribosomal RNA". It matches the Rfam family "Bacterial small subunit ribosomal RNA", at positions 524 to 776 of the family's 1533-position model. The record is from RNAcentral.